GGGUUGUGAGGUUAAGCGACUAAGCGUACACGGUGGAUGCCCUGGCAGUCAGAGGCGAUGAAGGACGUGCUAAUCUGCGAAAAGCGUCGGUAAGGUGAUAUGAACCGUUAUAGCCGGCGAUGUCCGAAUGGGGAAACCCAGUGUGAUUCGUCACACUAUCGUUAACUGAAUACAUAGGUUAACGAGGCGAACCGGGGGAACUGAAACAUCUAAGUACCCCGAGGAAAAGAAAUCAACCGAGAUUCCCCCAGUAGCGGCGAGCGAACGGGGAGCAGCCCAGAGUCUGAAUCAGCUUGUGUGUUAGUGGAACGGUCUGGAAAGUCCGACGGUACAGGGUGAUAGUCCCGUACACCAAAAUGCACAGGUUGUGAACUCGAAGAGUAGGGCGGGACACGUGGUAUCCUGUCUGAAUAUGGGGGGACCAUCCUCCAAGGCUAAAUACUCCUGACUGACCGAUAGUGAACCAGUACCGUGAGGGAAAGGCGAAAAGAACCCCGGCGAGGGGAGUGAAAAAGAACCUGAAACCGUGUACGUACAAGCAGUGGGAGCACCUUCGGGUGUGACUGCGUACCUUUUGUAUAAUGGGUCAGCGACUUAUAUUCUGUAGCAAGGUUAACCGUAUAGGGGAGCCGCAGGGAAACCGAGUCUUAACUGGGCGUUAAGUUGCAGGGUAUAGACCCGAAACCCGGUGAUCUAGCCAUGGGCAGGUUGAAGGUUGGGUAACACUAACUGGAGGACCGAACCGACUAAUGUUGAAAAAUUAGCGGAUGACUUGUGGCUGGGGGUGAAAGGCCAAUCAAACCGGGAGAUAGCUGGUUCUCCCCGAAAGCUAUUUAGGUAGCGCCUCGUGAACUCAUCUUCGGGGGUAGAGCACUGUUUCGGCUAGGGGGUCAUCCCGACUUACCAACCCGAUGCAAACUACGAAUACCGAAGAAUGUUAUCACGGGAGACACACGGCGGGUGCUAACGUCCGUCGUGAAGAGGGAAACAACCCAGACCGCCAGCUAAGGUCCCAAAGUCAUGGUUAAGUGGGAAACGAUGUGGGAAGGCACAGACAGCCAGGAUGUUGGCUUAGAAGCAGCCAUCAUUUAAAGAAAGCGUAAUAGCUCACUGGUCGAGUCGGCCUGCGCGGAAGAUGUAACGGGGCUAAACCAUGCACCGAAGCUGCGGCAGCGACACUAUGUGUUGUUGGGUAGGGGAGCGUUCUGUAAGCCUGCGAAGGUGUGCUGUGAGGCAUGCUGGAGGUAUCAGAAGUGCGAAUGCUGACAUAAGUAACGAUAAAGCGGGUGAAAAGCCCGCUCGCCGGAAGACCAAGGGUUCCUGUCCAACGUUAAUCGGGGCAGGGUGAGUCGACCCCUAAGGCGAGGCCGAAAGGCGUAGUCGAUGGGAAACAGGUUAAUAUUCCUGUACUUGGUGUUACUGCGAAGGGGGGACGGAGAAGGCUAUGUUAGCCGGGCGACGGUUGUCCCGGUUUAAGCAUGUAGGCUGGUUGUCCAGGCAAAUCCGGAUAAUCAAGGCUGAGGUGUGAUGACGAGGCACUACGGUGCUGAAGUAACAAAUGCCCUGCUUCCAGGAAAAGCCUCUAAGCAUCAGGUAACAUCAAAUCGUACCCCAAACCGACACAGGUGGUCAGGUAGAGAAUACCAAGGCGCUUGAGAGAACUCGGGUGAAGGAACUAGGCAAAAUGGUGCCGUAACUUCGGGAGAAGGCACGCUGGUGUGUAGGUGAAGUCCCUGCGGAUGGAGCUGAGACCAGUCGAAGAUACCAGCUGGCUGCAACUGUUUAUUAAAAACACAGCACUGUGCAAACACGAAAGUGGACGUAUACGGUGUGACGCCUGCCCGGUGCCGGAAGGUUAAUUGAUGGGGUUAUCCGUAAGGAGAAGCUCUUGAUCGAAGCCCCGGUAAACGGCGGCCGUAACUAUAACGGUCCUAAGGUAGCGAAAUUCCUUGUCGGGUAAGUUCCGACCUGCACGAAUGGCGUAAUGAUGGCCAGGCUGUCUCCACCCGAGACUCAGUGAAAUUGAACUCGCUGUGAAGAUGCAGUGUACCCGCGGCAAGACGGAAAGACCCCGUGAACCUUUACUAUAGCUUGACACUGAACAUUGAGCCUUGAUGUGUAGGAUAGGUGGGAGGCUUUGAAGCGUGGACGCCAGUCUGCGUGGAGCCAACCUUGAAAUACCACCCUUUAAUGUUUGAUGUUCUAACGUUGGCCCCUUACCGGGGUUGCGGACAGUGUCUGGUGGGUAGUUUGACUGGGGCGGUCUCCUCCCAAAGCGUAACGGAGGAGCACGAAGGUUAGCUAAUCCUGGUCGGACAUCAGGAGGUUAGUGCAAUGGCAUAAGCUAGCUUGACUGCGAGCGUGACGGCGCGAGCAGGUGCGAAAGCAGGUCAUAGUGAUCCGGUGGUUCUGAAUGGAAGGGCCAUCGCUCAACGGAUAAAAGGUACUCCGGGGAUAACAGGCUGAUACCGCCCAAGAGUUCAUAUCGACGGCGGUGUUUGGCACCUCGAUGUCGGCUCAUCACAUCCUGGGGCUGAAGUAGGUCCCAAGGGUAUGGCUGUUCGCCAUUUAAAGUGGUACGCGAGCUGGGUUUAGAACGUCGUGAGACAGUUCGGUCCCUAUCUGCCGUGGGCGCUGGAGAAUUGAGGGGGGCUGCUCCUAGUACGAGAGGACCGGAGUGGACGCAUCACUGGUGUUCGGGUUGUCAUGCCAAUGGCACUGCCCGGUAGCUAAAUGCGGAAGAGAUAAGUGCUGAAAGCAUCUAAGCACGAAACUUGCCCCGAGAUGAGUUCUCCCUGAGACUUUAAGUCUCCUGAAGGAACGUUAAAGACGAUGACGUUGAUAGGCCGGGUGUGUAAGCGCAGCGAUGCGUUGAGCUAACCGGUACUAAUGAACCGUGAGGCUUAACCUUACAACGCCGAAG
Molecule: ribosomal RNA, 2923 nt
Filed under: Klebsiella pneumoniae
Lineage: Bacteria; Pseudomonadati; Pseudomonadota; Gammaproteobacteria; Enterobacterales; Enterobacteriaceae
Description: 23S ribosomal RNA
Rfam family: Bacterial large subunit ribosomal RNA
Source: RNAcentral